CACAACAAUAAUCCAUUAAUCAAUUUGUUUAUUUAACAAAUACGUAUUGAGUUCCCACUCAUUGGUAAUGACUCUUCUAUGCACUGAAGAAACAGCAAUGGACAAGGCAAACAAAAUUCCUGCAUUCAUGAAGCUUCCAUUCUGGCAAGUGAGCAAAUACGUAAUAUCAAAUAGUAAUAACUUCAAAGAAAAAAAUAAAAUAGAGUAAGAGUAUGGGCAGGGACAGUGGGAGGAUGCAAGGUGCUAUUUUUGAUAGAUUGGACAAGCCUUCUUAAGGAUGUCUGAAUGAAGUGCAGGACAAAGCCAUAAGUAGAUGGUAGAACCGAGUUCCAAGCAGGGGAAUAGCAAAUACAAAGGCCCUGAGGCAGGAAUGAGCUUGCUUCUUUCAAGGAACAAUAAGAAGAUUUGAGAAGCGUGUGCAUUGGAAAGUGUGGUAGAAAAUGAAGUCAGAGCAGCCAAGAAGGAGGAGGCCAUGAAAAAAUGUUUGAAUUUUUUUGAGUGUAUCAGAAAGCUGUACAAAGGUUUCAAACAGGGAAGUGGCAUUAUCUGAUUUGAAUUUUGAAAAGUUCAUGCACCCUAGAUGUUGUGUGAAGAACUCAUUAUAUGGACAUCAGCUAUCACUGGAUGAGAUAUGAUGGUGGCUUAGAUUCAUCUGCUCACAUGUGGAAGACUGUGGGAGGAGGUUUUUGGAGAGAAGUAAAGAGUUCUGUUGUGUACAUGUUAAACUUGAGAAAUUUUUAGACAGCCAAGUAGAGACUUUGAGGAGGCAGUUGAAUAUAGAAAUCCAGAACUUCACUGGAAUUAAUAGCUCUGGAGAUAAAAAUGUGGAAGUUGUCAAUGGCUAGAUGUAUGAAAAGGCUGGGACCAAAUGUGAUCAUCUGGAGGUGAAUAUAAAUAGAAAAAAGAGC
RNAcentral lists this long non-coding RNA (908 nucleotides) under Homo sapiens (human). Its description in RNAcentral is "HSALNT0012107". Lineage: Eukaryota; Metazoa; Chordata; Mammalia; Primates; Hominidae. The record is from RNAcentral.